RNAcentral lists this non-coding RNA (217 nucleotides) under Clostridiaceae bacterium. RNAcentral describes it as "6S RNA". It matches the Rfam family "6S / SsrS RNA". Rfam says of the family: E. coli 6S RNA was the first non coding RNA to be sequenced, but its function was unknown until recently. It consists of 184 nucleotides that fold into an extended hairpin structure with a large single-stranded internal bulge. The record is from RNAcentral. Lineage: Bacteria; Bacillati; Bacillota; Clostridia; Eubacteriales; Clostridiaceae.
UUAUUCCUGAAAUGCUCGGAUUUAACCCAUAAUUUUGAACCUACAUCCGACAUAAGGGAGUUCGGAGUUUAAAAGUGGAUACCAGGCCUCAAGAUAAUUCCGACAUUCGUCCAUUGGACUGAAUGCAACGGCGGAGGAAGGUUGAAGCUUUUAGCAGGGCACCCACCUAGCAGAGGCUAGGUGUCAAAAUAUGGGGGAACGACAUUUCGGGGUAAAA